RNAcentral lists this ribosomal RNA (449 nucleotides) under Ypypuera crucifera. RNAcentral describes it as "partial 16S ribosomal RNA". Lineage: Eukaryota; Metazoa; Arthropoda; Arachnida; Araneae; Hersiliidae. The record is from RNAcentral.
UACUAAAAUAAAUAAUUUUUAGCAAACUCUGCUCAAUGAUACUUUAAAUAGCCGCAAGAUAUUUAUUGUGCUAAGGUAGCACAGUCACUAGCCUCUCAAUUGGAGGAUAGAAUGAAAGAGAUUACAUUUCAAUUAAUUUAUUAAUUUCACAUCUCUAAUUUAAUUUAAAUAUUAAAAAAUAUUUAUCCCACAGAAAGACGACAAGACCCUAUUGAACUUUACUUUAGUUUAACUGGGGCAGUUAAUUAAUAAAAAUUUUAAUUAAAAUAAUUUAAUAUAUCGACCUAAUAAAAUCAUCAACUACAAGAAUAAGUUACCAUAGGGAUAACAGCGUAAUUAUCUUCUAAAGUUCUUAUUUAAAAGAAUGUUUGCGACCUCGAUGUUGAAUAUUUACUCUUAUAGAUGCAGCCACCUAUAAAGAAAGUCUGUUCGACUUAUAAAUCUUUACA